RNAcentral lists this ribosomal RNA (464 nucleotides) under uncultured bacterium. Its description in RNAcentral is "bacterial SSU rRNA". It matches the Rfam family "Bacterial small subunit ribosomal RNA", at positions 338 to 795 of the family's 1533-position model. The record is from RNAcentral.
CCUACGGGGGGCAGCAGUGGGGAAUAUUGCACAAUGGGCGCAAGCCUGAUGCAGCCAUGCCGCGUGUAUGAAGAAGGCCUUCGGGUUGUAAAGUACUUUCAGCGAGGAGGAAGGCGAUAAGGUUAAUAACCUUGUCGAUUGACAUUACUCGCAGAAGAAGCACCGGCUAACUCCGUGCCAGCAGCCGCGGUAAUACGGAGGGUGCAAGCGUUAAUCGGAAUUACUGGGCGUAAAGCGCACGCGGGCGGUCUGUCAAGUUGGAUGUGAAAUCCCCGGGCUCAACCUGGGAACUGCAUUCGAAACUGGCAGUCUAGAGUCUUGUAGAGGGGGUAGAAUUCCAGGUGUAGCGGUGAAAUGCGUAGAGAUCUGGAGGAAUACCGGUGGCGAAGGCGGCCCCCUGGACAAAGACUGACGCUCAGGUGCGAAAGCGUGGGGAGCAAACAGGAUUAGAUACCCGAGUAGUC